GAACAGACGAGGAGCUUGCUCCUCUGACGUUAGCGGCGGACGGGUGAGUAACACGUGGAUAACCUACCUAUAAGACUGGGAUAACUUCGGGAAACCGGAGCUAAUACCGGAUAAUAUAUUGAACCGCAUGGUUCAAUAGUGAAAGACGGUUUUGCUGUCACUUAUAGAUGGAGUCCGCGCCGCAUUAGCUAGUUGGCAAGGUAACGGCAUACCAAGGCAACAAUGCGUAGCCGACCUGAGAGGGUGAUCGGCCACACUGGAACUGAGACACGGUCCAGACUCCUACGGGAGGCAGCAGUAGGGAAUCUUCCGCAAUGGGCGAAAGCCUGACGGAGCAACGCCGCGUGAGUGAUGAAGGUCUUCGGAUCGUAAAACUCUGUUAUUAGGGAAGAACAAAUGUGUAAGUAACUAUGCACGUCUUGACGGUACCUAAUCAGAAAGCCACGGCUAACUACGUGCCAGCAGCCGCGGUAAUACGUAGGUGGCAAGCGUUAUCCGGAAUUAUUGGGCGUAAAGCGCGCGUAGGCGGUUUUUUAAGUCUGAUGUGAAAGCCCACGGCUCAACCGUGGAGGGUCAUUGGAAACUGAAAAACUUGAGUGCAGAAGAGGAAAGUGGAAUUCCAUGUGUAGCGGUGAAAUGCGCAGAGAUAUGGAGGAACACCAGUGGCGAAGGCGACUUU
RNAcentral lists this ribosomal RNA (679 nucleotides) under uncultured Staphylococcus sp. Its description in RNAcentral is "bacterial SSU rRNA". It matches the Rfam family "Bacterial small subunit ribosomal RNA", at positions 68 to 728 of the family's 1533-position model. The record is from RNAcentral. Lineage: Bacteria; Bacillati; Bacillota; Bacilli; Caryophanales; Staphylococcaceae.